AUGACAUGUGGCAACAUCUAGAUCGACCAUUAGUCGGACAGUUCGACGCACCUACUCCUGAUCGUGCCACCUCAUCGUUAUCUGCAUGAACAGCUCCAACCUAAUGAUGUUCGGACACGUGGCCAAGAUCUACUAGUCAGAAUCAAAUAAUCCAGCAUCGAAUUAUCUUCCUGAAACGACGUCCGGUACCGAAUUGUCUUAUCGAAAUGACAGCCCAAUAAUGAUUUUGCAGCUACCAAAAUGACACAAUAGCUAGAGAUCUCUCGUACUACAAAAAAUUAUAAAGACUAGCAGCCA
RNAcentral lists this long non-coding RNA (297 nucleotides) under Elaeis guineensis (African oil palm). Its description in RNAcentral is "long non-coding RNA (EGUI_LNC026531)". Lineage: Eukaryota; Viridiplantae; Streptophyta; Magnoliopsida; Arecales; Arecaceae. The record is from RNAcentral.